Molecule: non-coding RNA, 192 nt
Filed under: Candidatus Competibacteraceae bacterium
Lineage: Bacteria; Pseudomonadati; Pseudomonadota; Gammaproteobacteria; Candidatus Competibacteraceae
Also listed under: 1 other name
Description: 6S RNA
Rfam family: 6S / SsrS RNA
About the family: E. coli 6S RNA was the first non coding RNA to be sequenced, but its function was unknown until recently.
Source: RNAcentral
CGUUCUCUGCGGUGUUCGAGAAUCGGGCCGGGUAACCCCUUGAUCCUAAUAUGAUUAUACCCCGGGAGCACGGUGGUCGGUGUUGGUGUGCACGUCCGCCACCCCGCGGAAAGCCUGAUACACCGCUCUGUUCCCCCACUUGAGCCGCACGGUUCAAGGGCGAAGGCCCCAUACGGCACGGGCGGAGGACGC